RNAcentral lists this unclassified non-coding RNA (162 nucleotides) under uncultured fungus. RNAcentral's name for it is "sequence contains ITS1, 5.8S rRNA gene". Lineage: Eukaryota; Fungi. The record is from RNAcentral.
CCGAGUUCCGCCCUUUCUACAAGGGCGCCUCCCACCCUUUGAUUACUGCUCGUUGCUUCGGCGAGCCGACAGCAUUCGCUGCCGUCGGGUCACUAAUCGGGCGAGCGCUCGCCGAAGUUUUUAACACUUUACUAAGAGUCUGAUUAAAUUGAGAAUUAAAAA